This 253-nucleotide ribosomal RNA is filed under the name uncultured bacterium. Its description in RNAcentral is "partial 16S ribosomal RNA". It matches the Rfam family "Bacterial small subunit ribosomal RNA", at positions 524 to 776 of the family's 1533-position model. The record is from RNAcentral.
UACGUAGGUGGCAAGCGUUGUCCGGAUUUAUUGGGUUUAAAGGGUGCGUAGGCGGCUUUGUAAGUCAGUGGUGAAAUAUGGCAGCUCAACUGUCAAGGUGCCAUUGAUACUGCGGAGCUUGAGUACAGAUGAGGUAGGCGGAAUUGACGGUGUAGCGGUGAAAUGCUUAGAUAUCGUCAAGAACACCUAUAGCGGAGGCAGCUUACUAGGCUGUAACUGACGCUGAGGCACGAAAGCGUGGGGAGCAAACAGG